CGGCGGAUGGGUGAGUAACACGUGGGGAACCUGCCCCUAAGUCUGGGAUACCAUUUGGAAACAGGUGCUAAUACCGGAUAAUAAAGCGGAUCGCAUGAUCAGCUUUUGAAAGGCGGCGUAAGCUGUCGCUAAGGGAUGGCCCCGCGGUGCAUUAGCUAGUUGGUAAGGUAACGGCUUACCAAGGCGACGAUGCAUAGCCGAGUUGAGAGACUGAUCGGCCACAUUGGGACUGAGACACGGCCCAAACUCCUACGGGAGGCAGCAGUAGGGAAUCUUCCACAAUGGACGCAAGUCUGAUGGAGCAACGCCGCGUGAGUGAAGAAGGUUUUCGGAUCGUAAAGCUCUGUUGUUGGUGAAGAAGGAUAGAGGUAGUAACUGGCCUUUAUUUGACGGUAAUCAACCAGAAAGUCACGGCUAACUACGUGCCAGCAGCCGCGGUAAUACGUAGGUGGCAAGCGUUGUCCGGAUUUAUUGGGCGUAAAGCGAGCGCAGGCGGAAAAAUAAGUCUAAUGUGAAAGCCCUCGGCUUAACCGAGGAACUGCAUCGGAAACUGUUUUUCUUGAGUGCAGAAGAGGAGAGUGGAACUCCAUGUGUAGCGGUGGAAUGCGUAGAUAUAUGGAAGAACACCAGUGGCGAAGGCGGCUCUCUGGUCUGCAACUGACGCUGAGGCUCGAAAGCAUGGGUAGCGAACAGGAUUAGAUACCCUGGUAGUCCAUGCCGUAAACGAUGAGUGCUAAGUGUUGGGAGGUUUCCGCCCCUCAGUGCUGCAGCUAACGCAUUAAGCACUCCGCCUGGGGAGUACGAC
Molecule: ribosomal RNA, 805 nt
Filed under: uncultured bacterium
Lineage: Bacteria
Description: bacterial SSU rRNA
Rfam family: Bacterial small subunit ribosomal RNA
Source: RNAcentral